ACCUGGCUGGCUCAGUCAGAAGAGCAUGAGACUCUUAAUCUCGGGGUUGUGAAUUUGAGCUCCAUGUUGGGUA
Molecule: transfer RNA, 73 nt
Filed under: Canis lupus familiaris (dog)
Lineage: Eukaryota; Metazoa; Chordata; Mammalia; Carnivora; Canidae
Also listed under: 1 other name
Rfam family: tRNA
About the family: Transfer RNA (tRNA) molecules are approximately 80 nucleotides in length. Their secondary structure includes four short double-helical elements and three loops (D, anti-codon, and T loops).
Source: Rfam by way of RNAcentral